This 455-nucleotide ribosomal RNA is filed under the name uncultured bacterium. RNAcentral's name for it is "bacterial SSU rRNA". It matches the Rfam family "Bacterial small subunit ribosomal RNA", at positions 340 to 784 of the family's 1533-position model. The record is from RNAcentral.
UACGGGAGGCAGCAGUGGGGAAUAUUGCACAAUGGGCGAAAGCCUGAUGCAGCUAUGCCGCGUGUAUGAAGAAGGCCUUAGGGUUGUAAAGUACUUUCAUCGGGGAGGAAAAAACAAAACUAAUAAUUUUAUUUCUUGACGUUACCCGAAAAAGAAGCACCGGCUAACUCCGUGCCAGCAGCCGCGGUAAUACGGAGGGUGCUAGCGUUAAUCAGAAUUACUGGGCGUAAAGAGCACGUAGGUGGUUUUUUUAAGUCAGAUGUGAAAUCCCUGGGCUUAACCUAGGAACUGCAUUUUGAAACUGAAAUACUAGAGUAUCGUAGAGGGAGGUAGAAUUCUAGGUGUAGCGGUGAAAUGCGUAGAUAUCUGGAGGAAUACCUGUGGCGAAAGCGGCCUCCUAAACGAAUACUGACACUGAGGUGCGAAAGCGUUGGGGAGCAAACAGGGAUUAGAUA